This 77-nucleotide transfer RNA is filed under the name Mesorhizobium sp. Its description in RNAcentral is "tRNA-Pro". It matches the Rfam family "tRNA". From Rfam's summary of the family: Transfer RNA (tRNA) molecules are approximately 80 nucleotides in length. Their secondary structure includes four short double-helical elements and three loops (D, anti-codon, and T loops). Lineage: Bacteria; Pseudomonadati; Pseudomonadota; Alphaproteobacteria; Hyphomicrobiales; Phyllobacteriaceae. The record is from RNAcentral.
CGGAGAGUAGCGCAGUCUGGUAGCGCAAUCGGUCUGGACCCGAUAGGUCGUAGGUUCAAAUCCUACCUUUCCGACCA